RNAcentral lists this long non-coding RNA (323 nucleotides) under Vulpes vulpes (red fox). RNAcentral describes it as "lncRNA (ENSVVUG00000003123.1)". Lineage: Eukaryota; Metazoa; Chordata; Mammalia; Carnivora; Canidae. The record is from RNAcentral.
CCCAGUUGCAUCCAGGAGGGUGUUUAUUUUGACCUGUUGCUGUGAUAGUCUAAUUCAGUCAUUUUAGCAUGGGAGCAUUUUGAUAUAAUCUGAAAUAUAAACCACUCAACUUUCACCUGUUACAAAUUGUCAGUCAGCAGGGGAAACCAGCAUCCAGAGUGAACCUCAGGGGGUGUUUGAACAGUGGGGUGUAUGGUAAGAGUGAAGGUGAGACUCCAGCAUGGGGUACUAACAGCAUCCUGAGAGCUGAGCCCAAAGAUCAGGAAGUCUGAGAGCAGCUCCAUGUAUCAGCACCGGUCAUCCUGGUCAUCCUGAAUCAGAAG